Long non-coding RNA from Sinocyclocheilus rhinocerous, 827 nucleotides. RefSeq lists it as uncharacterized. The transcript is spliced from 3 exons. The record is from RefSeq and is a predicted model, not a curated record. Lineage: Eukaryota; Metazoa; Chordata; Actinopteri; Cypriniformes; Cyprinidae.
GCAACAACAGCUGCGUAGAGAGGCUCCGCACAGUCCAGUAAUUUGAGCGAGGGGACACUUUUUUAUUUUUGUUUCCAGAAAACAAAGAGAGGUUUUCUUUUUCUGAAUUCGACCACAAAUUUGAGACUACUGUUUCCCGGUGGAUGAAUGCGGCGGACACAAAAGACGAUGUGUAGUGACAACAAAUAGUGAAGUGAAGACUGAAGUGAGCUAGGAGGCUAAUCCGGCUAGCAUCUCCAGCCGAGAAGGGGCGUCCGAUUGGAGCCGCGCUGUGGAAACGAUAAAUUUUUGUAUUCUUUUUCGAAAAAAUCUUACAAAUACGCGGAUGACUUGAAAAUUCUAUAAAAAAUUCUGAAAAUUCUCGCAAGCGACGACGAAUAGAUUGGUGUGGGUUGUUUGGUGGAGCGAGGUGGUUUUGUGCAUUUUUUAAACGUUAAGUUUGAGCGGGAUUGGUGAUGUGAGCGAGACGGCCGGCGAGCCCGACAGCCUAUCAGCGAGCGAUACACCGGGAUGCCACACCGACCAACACUGUCCUAUUCUUUACUACAGUUUUUCUUCCUCUUUCAGCGUGAGAACAACGAUGACCAGAGUGCCUUUUAUUUUCUCCGUUUUUGUUUUUUGCACGAACUGUAUGUAACGUUAAUGAGUGCGCAGUCAGAAUUUUUAACUGCAAACUUUUUGUUUUUGUGGAUUUACAAAUAUGUUCGGGUGUUUUAGAAUUUGCCUGGUUGUGACAUCAGAAACUAGAAAACAAUUCAAGGUGGAGUCCUGGAAUUCCUCAAGCCCUGCUGAGAGAAAGAGAGAGAGGGAGGAGAGGAGUCACUCAC